Molecule: small nucleolar RNA, 140 nt
Organism: Megalops cyprinoides (Indo-Pacific tarpon)
Lineage: Eukaryota; Metazoa; Chordata; Actinopteri; Elopiformes; Megalopidae
Product: small nucleolar RNA SNORD94
Exons: 1
Source: RefSeq, a predicted model, not a curated record
UGGGCAAUGAUGAUUGGCGCAGGGGUACGUACCUCAGCCAAUGAUGGGGGCUGAGUGUCGGUGCCUGCACUCCGCUCAGUGGGCGUGUGGCCGGCUGGCGGGGGGGCACCGUCAUGGAACUAUCGCCGAGUCUGAGCCAC